UAGGGAAUCUUCCACAAUGGACGCAAGUCUGAUGGAGCAACGCCGCGUGAGUGAAGAAGGGUUUCGGCUCGUAAAGCUCUGUUGGUAGUGAAGAAAGAUAGAGGUAGUAACUGGCCUUUAUUUGACGGUAAUUACUUAGAAAGUCACGGCUAACUACGUGCCAGCAGCCGCGGUAAUACGUAGGUGGCAAGCGUUGUCCGGAUUUAUUGGGCGUAAAGCGAGUGCAGGCGGUUCAAUAAGUCUGAUGUGAAAGCCUUCGGCUCAACCGGAGAAUUGCAUCAGAAACUGUUGAACUUGAGUGCAGAAGAGGAGAGUGGAACUCCAUGUGUAGCGGUGGAAUGCGUAGAUAUAUGGAAGAACACCAGUGGCGAAGGCGGCUCUCUGGUCUGCAACUGACGCUGGGGCUCGAAAGCAUGGGUAGCGAACAGGAUUAGAUACCCUGGUAGUCCAUGCCGUAAACGAUGAGUGCUAAGUGUUGGGAGGUUUCCGCCUCUCAGUGCUGCAGCUAACGCAUUAAGCACUCCGCCUGGGGAGUACGACCGCAAGGUUG
Molecule: ribosomal RNA, 550 nt
Filed under: uncultured bacterium
Lineage: Bacteria
Description: bacterial SSU rRNA
Rfam family: Bacterial small subunit ribosomal RNA
Source: RNAcentral